UACGUAGGGGGCAAGCGUUGUCCGGAUUCAUUGGGCGUAAAGAGCGUGUAGGCGGCCAGGUAGGUCGGUUGUGAAAACUGGAGGCUCAACCUUCAGACGUCGACCGAAACCAUCUGGCUAGAGUCCGGGAGAGGAGAGUGGAAUUCCUGGUGUAGCGGUGAAAUGCGCAGAUAUCAGGAGGAACACCGAUGGCGAAGGCAGAUCUCUGGGCCGUAACUGACGCUGAGGAGCGAAAGCAUGGGGAGCGAACAGG
This 253-nucleotide ribosomal RNA is filed under the name uncultured bacterium. RNAcentral describes it as "partial 16S ribosomal RNA". It matches the Rfam family "Bacterial small subunit ribosomal RNA", at positions 524 to 776 of the family's 1533-position model. The record is from RNAcentral.